Molecule: non-coding RNA, 228 nt
Filed under: Bacillota bacterium
Lineage: Bacteria; Bacillati; Bacillota
Description: Firmicutes bacterium T-box sequence
Rfam family: T-box leader
About the family: Uncharged tRNA acts as the effector for transcription antitermination of genes in the T-box leader family. T-boxes are found upstream of many aminoacyl-tRNA synthetase genes and some amino acid biosynthetic genes usually in Gram-positive bacteria.
Source: RNAcentral
AAAAAUGCAUGGAACGGAAAGAGUAUGCUGUAGGAGUUUUACAGAGAAGGAAUGCCAUCGGCUGAAAGCAUUCCCAAAACCAAAAUGGCAGAAGUGCAUCCGGGAGCAGGCUUGGCGAGGCAGGAAAUUUCCUGAGUUAACAAAGCACGUUAUUCCCACGUUACGGGUCAAAGCAGGAUGGAAGCAUCCUGGAAUUAGAGUGGAACCGCGGAUACCUUCGCCUCUAGG